RNAcentral lists this ribosomal RNA (255 nucleotides) under uncultured bacterium. RNAcentral describes it as "partial 16S ribosomal RNA". It matches the Rfam family "Bacterial small subunit ribosomal RNA", at positions 524 to 777 of the family's 1533-position model. The record is from RNAcentral.
UACGUAGGGUGCGAGCGUUAAUCGGAAUUACUGGGCGUAAAGCGUGCGCAGGCGGUUAUUUAAGUCAGGUGUGAAAGCCCUGGGCUUAACCUAGGAAUUGCGCUUGAGACUGGAUAGCUUGGAGUGCGGCAGAGGGAGGUGGAAUUCCACGUGUAGCAGUGAAAUGCGUAGAGAUGUGGAGGAACACCGAUGGCGAAGGCAGCCUCCUGGGCCAGCACUGACGCUCAUGCACGAAAGCGUGGGGAGCAAACAGGG